UGAAGCCCCAGAUCACAGCAGAAGUCGUUUACGGUUCCCUUUACUACAGAACAUGUUUAUACCUUGUUACAUGACGCCAUAUUUCUGUCUCUAUGGCCCGGUGCUCUGUUCCACCCGGAUGAGCACACUCCUAGUGGACAUUCUGUAGUGCCUUUAACAUUCCAAACGGGUACUAAGCCAGCGAGGGACACGCGUGUUCUAGGCUAUGAAACAGUUCAUCGUCCAAUGUGCCUUAUCUACAUCGCUCAAAGAAGGUAAAGGAACACUCAAGAUCUCAAUGUGAAUUUAAUGUCUGAGGAGUGAAAGGAUGCCACAUCUUUUGAUGGAAAUAAAAGUUUCAGCCUACACGGGGCUUAAUUUAACACCUCAAAUCAAUGGGAAGAAUGAUGUUGCAGGGAAGUCCAUUCAGCCCGUCAUCCUCCAGGUACUGCCUGCAUACUCUUACCCCAUAAGGCUUGGCAUUGUGGUGCAUCAGGAGUGUUAAAGGCCUUCAGUCAACUUCUGUUGAGCUACAGAUGCAGGGUUCCUGCGGGUCCUUAAAAAGUCUUCAAUUAAAAUUUGGGUAAUUAAGGUCUUAAAUUGUCUUAAAUUUCACAUAAAGUUGCUGUAGGUAUUAAUUUUUUUGCCGGUGCGCUUAAUGCCGAUGAGAAAGCACAGUGGCGCAUCGUAAAACAUCUAAUAUAUUCAUCUAGUAUUGUGCUAAAUGCGUCUCCGCAAUAGAAUAUCUGUUUACGGUACGUCGGCUACAGACGCUGACGUCAGGCUGCGUGUCGCAAAUUUAACGACAAGUGGAUGGAAGAGGACGCGUUUAGGAGGCGGUCGGCGCCGGUUGAAAACAACAAUGAGGCGAUGUGUAAACUCUGCAAAAAGACCUUUUCAGACCGUGGGGCUCAAAGCCGUCGAGUCGCACAUGAAAGGAGGAAAGCACCAGCGAUACGUUGCAGCAGCUAGCCAUAGCCAUAGCCGUAGCCAUAGCGGGGCCAGGUUAAUCCCUGCAAGUUCACACGCCACCUCUCAGUCGGCUGUAACAGGUUUCAUUUCAACACCAGACACCCAAAAGGCAGAGGUACUGUGACGAGGCACAAUUCAUUUAAAUCUAAUGGUGACAUACGUGGCGUCUUUGCUGCCAUGUUCCCGAUUCACAGCUUGCAAAGUCAUUCACCUGUGGUGAAAAGAAAACGGCAUAUGUCGCCAAAUAUGGCAUCGCCUCAUUCAUCAAAAAGCAGCUAUCGCGCAGCGUUAGUGAGAAACCAUAUGUUGUCAUGUUUGACACACGUAUGAAUAAAAGGACAAAGAGCAAACAAAUGGACCUUCAUUUGCGAUUCUGGACGACUGAUGAUGAGACUGGCACACCCCACGUCAUCUCCCGCUACUAGGGGUCGGAGUUCAUGGGUCGCUCCAGAGCUGAGGACAUGUUGGGUCAUUUCAAUGUAAGUAACGUUACCAUUGUGUUUGCUGUAAAAUUGAGUAACCUUAGUGCGGUUUAAAGCUCGUAUGCUACCGGUGCAAAAUUCACCAUUGCAUUUAUAGGCCACACGCAUAUAAUUAUAUAAUGAUUAACGUUAAUUAUCGCGUGUGUUUGUGUAUGUUUGCAUUUUAUUGUUUAGGUGUAAAUAUGUGAAUACAUAUUCGUGUGUGUGUGUCAGGGGUUUUGAUGGAUGUUUUUGAUCUCUCUGCUAUAUAAGCACAACCAUUAUUAUUAUUAUUAUAUAAUGUGGAUUACUUGGCACAUUAAAUUGAUCUUUUUUUUUUUUUUCCCAAUGUGAAAGGUAGAAAGGAGCUGAAUCUGAACAAUAUGCUAUAUCUCUGUCAAUGGACCCGCUGUUAACUGUAAGUUUGUUGAACUCUUGCAAGAGGAACACAGAGAGCAGUGUGGUGGAGCCCAACUACAAAUAAUUGGGAGUUGUGGCCUUCACACGAUGCACAACUCGUUCAAGAACGGUUUUGCGGUGUGGCAAGUUGAGAAAGUCCUGAAAGCCCUGCACUACCUGUUUCAUUGUGCUCCUGCAAGGAGAGAAGACUUUGUUAGGGACCAAGUGUGAUACAUUUCCUUUGCCAUGUUGUGGACAUCAAUGGCUGGAAAACCUUCCAGCAGUGCAGAGAGCCAUUGAAAUGUGGCCAUAUAUUGUCACCUAUGUGGAUCAGGUCAAAGCCAAGAAGCUCCCCAAUCCAAGGUCAUCGUCAUGUGACACCAUCACAGAAGCCCGGAUGAUCCUUUAAUCUUGGCAAAGUUGCACUUCUUCAUGAGUGUCUCAAGAAGUUUUCAGCCAUUUCCCACCAAGUACCAGACAGAUGUCCCGAUGAUUCCCUUCCUCGGCAGGGAUUGAGGAUCUAAUCAGGACGCUUCAUAAAGCGAGACGUCCAGGUUGAUGUUGCCCCAGUAAAGCUGGUCAAGUUUGAUGUGACAGACCAAAAGCUUUGGGUCAGUCCAAAGCAAGUGGGCAUUGGCAUGGGAGCCACAGCUGCCCUCAAGGUGAUACGAUUGCCCAACAAUUUCAGAAGUUGCUCUUCAGUGAGGCCAGAGGAGAGGAAUUCAUGGCCUUCAGUGCAUUGGAUGGAAAAUCGCGAGUUGACAGCUUCCUGCAUACGGCCAUGAAUGGAUAUGCAGAACUUGCAGAACUUGCUGCUGCUUCUGUCCCAUGGACAAGCUACUGUGGAGCGUGGGUUCUCCAUUAACAAGGAGGUGGAGAUGUGCAAUAUGAACGAAGACACUAUAGUCUCACAGAGACUAAUCUGCGACUAUGUGAGGAUGUGUGGUGGAGUGGUCAAAGUGCCAUUGACUAAAGAGCUGCUAAAUGAGGUUGCAUCUGCACGCAACCGGUACAGGAUCUUCUUGGAAGAUGAGAGGAAGAAAAAAGAAAAGACAAAACAGACGAACAAAGAGAAAAGGGGUUGAAGACGAGCUUGAAGAGCUACGCAAGAAAAGAAGAACAAUCAACUGUGUGUGAAACUCUAGAAAAGGACGCAGAGAAGGCUGAGAAUACAGCAGGGACCAAGAUGGCAGAACUUAGACCUUUCUAUUCAUUGGUUUCUCUCAUGAAGAGUCAUGUGAUAACAUUUGUGUUUUCAAGCAGUUACUAUUUUCAUUAUUCAAUAUGGUUCCUUCAUGCAAUGCGUUGUGUUGUUUAGUGUGUUAUGUUGGCUCUGUUCUGCAUCACAAAGGAAUCACUUUGAUUGUUACAUCUAUAUUGGCCAAACAGUGUUGGAAGGGUUAUUGUCAGUUAUUAUACUGUCUCCUAAUUUGAGAAAAAGUUUUGAUUUCCAUUGUAGGAGGCAAUAAAUUGCGUAUUCCAAAGAAAUUGUGACAUUUUUGGGUCUUAAAAAGCAUUAAAUUUUACUUUUGAAAUGGUGCAAGAACCCUGCGAUGUGUAUGUACCUCCAGAAUAACCCGGAUGACGCGCAUUGAUGAGUCUUCUCUGCACGUUGUUAUUUUGCAAUGUUGUGUGGGAAACAUUAGAUCGAGUGCACGGGUACGUAGUAGAAGUAGUAGUACUUUUUCCUAGUAGAGUCACUACUAGAAGUAGUAUUUUAGUACUACUACUAGGAGUCAUUUUAAUAGUAGUAGAAAUACUACUAGAAGUAGUGAUAGUAAUAGUAUCAUUUGUAGUAGUACUGCUAGUUGUAGUAGUGAUAGUAUAAUUUGUAGUAGUAGUACUAGUUGUGGUAGUAAAAUGAGCAUGAGGCAGUGCCACAAAGGCAAUCAAUGAUAGCCUAGCUAGCUAUCAUUUUCACUGGCUGUUUGAGCCACUUCUAGCGCCGUGUGUCUGUCAGACUAGUAGGGGAGGGAGAGUGAGUGCUGGUACGAGGCUGUGUGGUCGUCAUGGAGACAUGUAAAUGGAUUUUACCGAGAAACCACACCUCAAACAAGUUGUCAUAACUGCAAAACUAUAGUACCUAUCCAAAAAAUAAGUUUCUUUGAGAGACCCAAGACUCUACCGAACGUAACCAUUUGGUCUUUAUGUCUGUCCGGUAAUAAAUACGGCUCCUGUGGCAUUUUACAAAACGUGUACCUUCUGGAUCUUUUGAGAAAUAUGUCCACAGAUUUGUAUUGGAGCCUAUGGGGCUUUUGGCAGAGGUUGUGUGACUGUUGGUCUCCUGAGGCCAAAGAACUCUGGGAUUCCAUAGCCACAUUAAUCCAAUCAGCACAACCGUGCCAUCAUCCAACCUAAAAAUGAAGCCUCAAAAGUGUAUUCCUGGCUGUCAGGACAGAAGUGCCAUGUUUUUUGAACCAGAGAGAUCAAGAGGGAGAAACUUGAAUUUGGCUCCACAUGCAAAACCAGUCCUGUUUUGGGGGUUGUCUCAUUGUUGCCCCGCUAGUGCACCUGUUAUCAGACGUGCAAUUCCUUUAAUUUUUUUCCAAGCAGUUUGUUUUCGAUCCAUUGAUCCCAUUCAUUACAGUUUCCUUGUCGCCUUCAUUACUAUUAUUUCAUAUCGGUCUGUGCCAGUUCAGGUCAAGACAAAAAACGAUUGGCUUCCUGUCCCCACACACACACACACACACACACACACACACACACACACACACACACACACACACACACACACACACACACACACACACACACACACACACACACACCUGUUUCCCAUCACCAUGCACUCACCAAUAUCCCCUCGCGCAUCAAUGCUCCCCCUUGUGAUCAAUGUCAUUACUACCUAUGUUGAUUUGGUGUUUCCCUCAAACAGACAAACUGCAUUCUGGUCCAACAGCCUCUUAUUAUUGGAAUUUUGUUACAAUUUAAAUUUGAUUAACAACAAACUAACUUUUGGUUUAUUCUAAUGUACAGGUGUAUUUUUAUUUAACUACAAGAUGGUGCUAUCUGUAGAGCACACAGCUGGCAAGAAGAUGCAACUGAUAUACAAUGAUCGCAUUAUUACCAAUGAUGUGAUUUUCGGAAAACUGCUUGAAAUAUAUGAAAUUGGUUUCCAACUUUCUUGCUUGGUCCCUUUUGACGACACGUGCAAACUUUGGACUUUGGAAUCCUCAAUAGUGCUAGAUUUCAAUGCACAUAUUUACUUUUCUUUACUGUGAACAAUUACCUGCAAAACCUAAGCCAAUGCAAUCAGCCACUUCUGUACUCUGUUUAAUGCUUUAAGCAAAUGUAGGAUUCAUUUUGAUUAACAAA
This is a long non-coding RNA of Gasterosteus aculeatus aculeatus (three-spined stickleback), 5126 nucleotides long. The record is from Ensembl. Lineage: Eukaryota; Metazoa; Chordata; Actinopteri; Perciformes; Gasterosteidae.